RNAcentral lists this ribosomal RNA (500 nucleotides) under uncultured bacterium. Its description in RNAcentral is "partial 16S ribosomal RNA". It matches the Rfam family "Bacterial small subunit ribosomal RNA", at positions 30 to 523 of the family's 1533-position model. The record is from RNAcentral.
AUUGAACGCUGGCGGCAUGCUUUACACAUGCAAGUCGAACGGUAACAGGGUGCUUGCACCGCUGACGAGUGGCGAACGGGUGAGUAAUGCGUCGGAACGUGCCGAGUAGUGGGGGAUAACGCAGCGAAAGUUGUGCUAAUACCGCAUACGUACUGAGGUAGAAAGUGGGGGACCUUCGGGCCUCACGCUAUUCGAGCGGCCGACGUCUGAUUAGCUAGUAGGUGAGGUAAAGGCUCACCUAGGCGACGAUCAGUAGCGGGUCUGAGAGGAUGAUCCGCCACACUGGGACUGAGACACGGCCCAGACUCCUGCGGGAGGAAGCAGUGGGGAAUUUUGGACAAUGGGCGAAAGCCUGAUCCAGCCAUGCCGCGUGUCUGAAGAAGGCCUUCGGGUUGUAAAGGACUUUUGUCAGGGAGGAAAUCCCUAGUGCUAAUAACACUGGGGGAUGACAGUACCUGAAGAAUAAGCACCGGCUAACUACGUGCCAGCCGCCGCCGUAA